UCUGAGCCUGGUUGUUAACAAUACCUCCCUCUCCCAAAUCCACCUUGUCCUCAAGGUGGUAGGUCUUACACAGGUCGAGCCAAGGCUCCCAUGACGUGUCUUCUGGUGGCUCGCCUACCCACUGUGUAAGGACUAACUAAGUGGGUGGAGUCAUUGACUCAUCGAGUUUGGUGUUGAGAAAACAUAGGGGCUUCUGUAGAG
RNAcentral lists this long non-coding RNA (201 nucleotides) under Glycine max (soybean). RNAcentral describes it as "long non-coding RNA (GMAX_LNC001591)". The record is from RNAcentral. Lineage: Eukaryota; Viridiplantae; Streptophyta; Magnoliopsida; Fabales; Fabaceae.